Molecule: ribosomal RNA, 395 nt
Filed under: uncultured bacterium
Lineage: Bacteria
Description: bacterial SSU rRNA
Rfam family: Bacterial small subunit ribosomal RNA
Source: RNAcentral
AUUGAACGCUGGCGGCAUGCCUUACACAUGCAAGUCGAACGGCAGCGCGGGGCAACCUGGCGGCGAGUGGCGAACGGGUGAGUAAUAUAUCGGAACGUGCCCUGGAGUGGGGGAUAACGCAGCGAAAGUUGCGCUAAUACCGCAUACGAUCUAAGGAUGAAAGCAGGGGACCGCAAGGCCUUGUGCUCCUGGAGCGGCCGAUAUCUGAUUAGCAGUUGGUGGGGUAAAGGCCUACCAAGGCAUCGAUCAGUAGCUGGUCUGAGAGGACGACCAGCCACACUGGAACUGAGACACGGUCCAGACUCCUACGGGAGGCAGCAGUGGGGAAUUUUGGACAAUGGGCGCAAGCCUGAUCCAGCAAUGCCGCGUGAGUGAAGGAGGCCUUCGGUUGUAAG